Molecule: ribosomal RNA, 253 nt
Filed under: uncultured bacterium
Lineage: Bacteria
Description: partial 16S ribosomal RNA
Rfam family: Bacterial small subunit ribosomal RNA
Source: RNAcentral
GACAGAGGGGGCAAGCGUUGCUCGGAAUUACUGGGCGUAAAGGGCGCGUAGGCGGGCUGCCAAGUCUGGGGUGAAAUCCCGCGGCUCAACCGUGGAACUGCCUCAGAUACUGGCGGCCUCGAGGGAGGUAGGGGCGAGCGGAACUAAUGGUGGAGCGGUGAAAUGCGUUGAUAUCAUUAGGAACUCCGGUGGCGAAGGCGGCUCGCUGGACCUUUUCUGACGCUGAGGCGCGAAAGCUAGGGGAGCAAACGGG